Molecule: ribosomal RNA, 462 nt
Filed under: uncultured bacterium
Lineage: Bacteria
Description: partial 16S ribosomal RNA
Rfam family: Bacterial small subunit ribosomal RNA
Source: RNAcentral
AAUGAACGUUGGCAGCAUGGAUUAGGCAUGCAAGUCGGGGGAAUCCCAGCAAUGGGGGAACCGGCGUAAGGGGCAGUAAGGCAUGGGUACCUACCUUGGGGUUCGGGAUAGCCAUCAGAGAUGGUGGGUAAUACCGGAUGACGUCGUGAGACCAAAGAUUUAUCGCCCUUAGAGGGGCCCAUGUGAUAGUAGCUAGUUGGUGGGGUAACGGCCCACCAAGGCGAAGAUGUCUAGCGGGUGUGAGAGCACGACCCGCGCCACUCGCACUGAGACACUGGCGAGACACCUACGGGUGGCUGCAGUCGAGGAUCUUCGGCAAUGAGCGCAAGCUUGACCGAGCGAUGCCGCGUGAGCGAUGAAGGCCUUCGGGUUGUAAAGCUCUUUAGUGGGGGAGAAAAGCCGCAAGGUGUGAUCUAUCCCAAAAAUAAGCACGGGCUAAGUUCGUGCCAGCCGCCGCAGUAA